Molecule: long non-coding RNA, 505 nt
Filed under: Phoenix dactylifera (date palm)
Lineage: Eukaryota; Viridiplantae; Streptophyta; Magnoliopsida; Arecales; Arecaceae
Description: long non-coding RNA (PDAC_LNC023021)
Source: RNAcentral
GACCAAGAGAAAGAGAAUAAGGCAAAGAGGCAUAAGUAUUGUUGCCCAACAGAAUUAGGAUCUGAAUUAAAAUUAACCCAUAUUAAAAAUACUCUAAGAUCUUGCCUCCAAAACUAUGCAAACAGGACUGAUUGAAUUAGAUGGAUUCCACUGAACCAUCCAAUACACCCGGAAUUGCUGAGUCAAAAGUAAUAAGGCUCAGAAAUGCUCAUGUUACCAAGCAGUUCUUGCUACAAAACAAUACGUCCGCUAACAAGACACAUUAAUGCAUUAGUUUGCAACAAGGCUUAUGUAUUGUAUACUAUUGCAUAUAAAAAAUUUCUUUAACCCCUGUUUUAGCUAGAAAAUACCACGCACCACAUCUCGGGCCCCUUACUCGUUAUCGUCCAAUAAGCAUACUACAUAGAGAUAACCAGCAAUAUUUCCCUCUUAGACCAAGCUAGUCACUUGGACUGAUACGUUCAAAGCUCACGCAAUAUGGAGUUUGGAAACCUGGGAGCUCCUU